This 213-nucleotide long non-coding RNA is filed under the name Musa acuminata (dwarf banana). Its description in RNAcentral is "long non-coding RNA (MACU_LNC011644)". Lineage: Eukaryota; Viridiplantae; Streptophyta; Magnoliopsida; Zingiberales; Musaceae. The record is from RNAcentral.
CUAACAGUUCCUCCCUCUUCAAAUCAGUCUUGUCCUCAAGGUUGAGCAGCAUCAAUCUUGGGAAGCUUGUCUUUUAGCACUUCAGUCAUAGGGUAUCUGCAACGCAUCACAACCCGUUGAUCAAGUAAUUAUGGUCUCCACUUUUUGACAGUGUAAGCAAUAGGUCGAUCUUUCAGUGUAGUAAUUGUUGUAAGAAAUUCCUGGCCUUUGCUA